GGCGUGUGACUGCGUACCUUUUGUAUAAUGGGUCAGCGACUUAUAUUCUGUAGCAAGGUUAACCGAAUAGGGGAGCCGAAGGGAAACCGAGUCUUAACUGGGCGUUAAGUUGCAGGGUAUAGACCCGAAACCCGGUGAUCUAGCCAUGGGCAGGUUGAAGGUUGGGUAACACUAACUGGAGGACCGAACCGACUAAUGUUGAAAAAUUAGCGGAUGACUUGUGGCUGGGGGGGAAAGGCCAAUCAAACCGGGAGAUAGCUGGUUCUCCCCGAAAGCUAUUUAGGUAGCGCCUCGUGAACUCAUCUCCGGGGGUAGAGCACUGUUUCGGCAAGGGGGUCAUCCCGACUUACCAACCCGAUGCAAACUGCGAAUACCGGAGAAUGUUAUCACGGGAGACACACGGCGGGUGCUAACGUCCGUCGUGAAGAGGGAAACAACCCAGACCGCCAGCUAAGGUCCCAAAGUCAUGGUUAAGUGGGAAACGAUGUGGGAAGGCCCAGACAGCCAGGAUGUUGGCUUAGAAGCAGCCAUCAUUUAAAGAAAGCGUAAUAGCUCACUGGUCGAGUCGGCCUGCGCGGAAGAUGUAACGGGGCUAAACCAUGCACCGAAGCUGCGGCA
RNAcentral lists this ribosomal RNA (618 nucleotides) under Escherichia coli. RNAcentral's name for it is "bacterial LSU rRNA". It matches the Rfam family "Bacterial large subunit ribosomal RNA", at positions 588 to 1207 of the family's 2925-position model. Lineage: Bacteria; Pseudomonadati; Pseudomonadota; Gammaproteobacteria; Enterobacterales; Enterobacteriaceae. The record is from RNAcentral.